RNAcentral lists this ribosomal RNA (596 nucleotides) under Escherichia coli. RNAcentral's name for it is "bacterial SSU rRNA". It matches the Rfam family "Bacterial small subunit ribosomal RNA", at positions 937 to 1533 of the family's 1533-position model. The record is from RNAcentral. Lineage: Bacteria; Pseudomonadati; Pseudomonadota; Gammaproteobacteria; Enterobacterales; Enterobacteriaceae.
GCAUGUGGUUUAAUUCGAUGCAACGCGAAGAACCUUACCUGGUCUUGACAUCCACAGAACUUUCCAGAGAUGGAUUGGUGCCUUCGGGAACUGUGAGACAGGUGCUGCAUGGCUGUCGUCAGCUCGUGUUGUGAAAUGUUGGGUUAAGUCCCGCAACGAGCGCAACCCUUAUCCUUUGUUGCCAGCGGUCCGGCCGGGAACUCAAAGGAGACUGCCAGUGAUAAACUGGAGGAAGGUGGGGAUGACGUCAAGUCAUCAUGGCCCUUACGACCAGGGCUACACACGUGCUACAAUGGCGCAUACAAAGAGAAGCGACCUCGCGAGAGCAAGCGGACCUCAUAAAGUGCGUCGUAGUCCGGAUUGGAGUCUGCAACUCGACUCCAUGAAGUCGGAAUCGCUAGUAAUCGUGGAUCAGAAUGCCACGGUGAAUACGUUCCCGGGCCUUGUACACACCGCCCGUCACACCAUGGGAGUGGGUUGCAAAAGAAGUAGGUAGCUUAACCUUCGGGAGGGCGCUUACCACUUUGUGAUUCAUGACUGGGGUGAAGUCGUAACAAGGUAACCGUAGGGGAACCUGCGGUUGGAUCACCUCCUUA